UUUUUUACAUUUUGGUGUUUUAUUGGGAUUUUAUGUAACAGACCAACACAAAGACCAGUGGUGUCCAAACUUUUUGUAGAGACGGCCAAAGCCCGCAAAUUUCAAUAAAUUUAUUGUUAUGUCUUUAGAUUUACCUGCUCAAUAAUAAACAAAAUGUUUAUGAAAUCUGUACAUCAUUAAAGAUAAAGAACAGAAAUGGUUUAGGACUGUUGUGCUACUAAAAGAAAUAGAGAUGAUUUCCACUUUUUUUGGGGUACAUCAGUUGUUUUCUAUUUUGUUGGUCAAAUUUUGAACAUUCUUGACUUGUAGUCUGGGGACAAACAAAAUAAUAUGGCCAUACUUUGGGCAGUCCUGUAGUAGGCGAAUUAAAGCUGCAGGUCAUCUGGGGUACGUCUCUAACAACUUUUAGUAUAUUAAGAAAUUGCAUAUUUUUUGCAUUCUUUUUCAAACAAUAGUCCCAAGUUCUGUCAAAUAUGAUGGGAAGCAACAGUGAACAUCAACUUACAAGUUUUGCCAUGGAUUUGGGCUUUGAUUAGGCCGCUUAACGCAUAAAUAUGCUCUGAUCUAAAUUAUAUCUCAAGUUUUCCUCAGCUUCGAACAGGUUUUCUUCCAGGAUUUUCUUGUAUUUAGUUACAUUUCCCAUCAAUUUAGAUCAGUUUUCCUGUCCCACCAAAAAAUAAAAAAUUAAAUAUCCCCACAGCAUGAUGCUGCCACCACGUGUAUCAUCAUGGGUUAAGGGUGAUGCAUGUAGUGUCAGUCGUGUAGUACACGCAUCAUGAAGGUUCCUACUUGCAUCAUGUAGUACUACAUGCAUCAUGUAGUACUACGUGCACUACAUGCAUUUGGUCCUACUUUCAACAUGUUUUUAUAUGUUGAAAGUAGGACCAAAGUUGCAGGCAGGAACUUGUGGUAACCAUAAUGAAAGUCUAAUCAUUAAAACAGAAAACCUACAGAACUUGCACAAGAAAACAGCUCCUUGCAUUGACUAAAGUGCUGUACAAAGUAAAACAAAUAAAUGCUCAACAAAAUUAAAUCAGUGUGAAUCAAAAAUACAACCAGAAUAAAAGAAGGUAAAAAUAAUAUAGAAACGUACAGCCAGUGAGGCUAUAUACAGAGGAAAUGUUGAAAUGGUAAAUAAUUAACACAAACUAAAAACAAAGUGGGGUCAUACUAACACUGAACUAGAGGAUAAACCGAAAUACAUAGAACAGAACACAAGAAGAUAAUAAAUGAAUAUACAUGGCACAGAGUUUGACCCAAAAUGGAAAAAUCUAAAUAAAUAUAAUAUACUUGGCAUAUUAUCACAACUUGUUCAAACAUUUUCCAUGUUGAAGCUCAUAUGACAAACUUAUGUUUAAAUGUCAAGAGACCCAUAGAGUUAAUUUUGGUCAACAUGGCAUAAGCAACUCAAAAUGUGGGAAAAAGCAGACAAUUGUGCACAUUCACUUGCAUGACGUACAAACAUACUGGCAACUGAGAAGUUGCUGGGAAACUGGGAGAUGUUGAAGGCUUGAUUUGGAACCUAACUCUACUUUUAAACUUUGGUCUAAAUGAUGCUGUUUUUAUCCCUUAUGUUCUCUAAAAAAUCCUCUGAGUCCAGAAACAUAACAGCUCCAUAUGUUUACUUAUAAGGUGCCUUUAAUUGGUUGCUCAUGUUUUGUUUUGUUUUUUUAUUAUUUGCCUUUCAUGUAUGUCCAAAUUACGCACUACUUUGUGUUUCUCUAUCACAUAAAAUGCACAAAAAUAGGUUGAAGUUAGUGGUCAUAAUGUGAAAAAGUUUAAAUUGUAUGAAUACGUUUACGUUUAUGGCUCAUCUAUGAUUGUAUCCUUCAGGUUUUCAUUAUUACUAGUUCCUGGAAAACUGCAGUAAAAAGCUCAGACAACAGGAACACUGACUCUAAAAUUACACAUUUCAGCAGAUUUUAGAAUUACAUUUGACAAGUUCUAACAUUCCUAUCAUCCAUCUCCAUAAAGGUGCAGGGUGGUCAGUAAGAUAAAAACAUGUAUUAUUUACACUUCUCUAGCAUGUGUGACAUAUCAUGUUGUGUAUGAGGAAAUUCAAAACUUUGUAGUGUCUUUUGUGUUAAUAAAAAUUUAGAAAUAUGUGAA
Long non-coding RNA from Poecilia latipinna (sailfin molly), 2109 nucleotides. RefSeq lists it as uncharacterized. Lineage: Eukaryota; Metazoa; Chordata; Actinopteri; Cyprinodontiformes; Poeciliidae. The record is from RefSeq and is a predicted model, not a curated record. The transcript has 2 exons.